This 254-nucleotide ribosomal RNA is filed under the name uncultured Staphylococcus sp. Its description in RNAcentral is "partial 16S ribosomal RNA". It matches the Rfam family "Bacterial small subunit ribosomal RNA", at positions 86 to 334 of the family's 1533-position model. Lineage: Bacteria; Bacillati; Bacillota; Bacilli; Caryophanales; Staphylococcaceae. The record is from RNAcentral.
CUGACGUUAGCGGCGGACGGGUGAGUAACACGUGGGUAACCUACCUAUAAGACUGGGAUAACUCCGGGAAACCGGGGCUAAUACCGGAUAAUACAUGAAACCGCAUGGUUUCAUGAUGAAAGACGGUUUUGCUGUCACUUAUAGAUGGACCCGCGGCGUAUUAGCUAGUUGGUAAGGUAACGGCUUACCAAGGCAACGAUACGUAGCCGACCUGAGAGGGUGAUCGGCCACACUGGAACUGAGACACGGUCCAG